Molecule: ribosomal RNA, 292 nt
Filed under: uncultured prokaryote
Description: partial 16S ribosomal RNA
Rfam family: Bacterial small subunit ribosomal RNA
Source: RNAcentral
GUGUCAGCAGCCGCGGUAAUACGGAGGGUGCAAGCGUUAAUCGGAAUUACUGGGCGUAAAGCGCUCGUAGGCGGUUUGUUAAGUCGGAUGUGAAAGCCCCGGGCUCAACCUGGGAACUGCAUUCGAUACUGGCAAACUAGAGUAUAGAAGAGGCAAGUGGAAUUCCGGGUGUAGCGGUGAAAUGCGUAGAUAUCCGGAGGAACAUCAGUGGCGAAGGCGACUUGCUGGUCUAAUACUGACGCUGAGGAGCGAAAGCGUGGGGAGCAAACGGGAUUAGAAACCCGGGUAGUCC